RNAcentral lists this long non-coding RNA (12902 nucleotides) under Vigna radiata. RNAcentral describes it as "long non-coding RNA (VRAD_LNC009430)". Lineage: Eukaryota; Viridiplantae; Streptophyta; Magnoliopsida; Fabales; Fabaceae. The record is from RNAcentral.
UUCUAGUGGUAUAUGUGCUGCUGAUUGUGUAUGCACGGCUUGUUGCGCAACCUUAGAACCUUGAUGAGAACACAAGUGGGUUAUUUAUACAUAUUUUCUUUCAAAUUCCGUUUUGAAUGCGUCAAUAAAUAAAAUAAAGAGGGCUGCUGUUAAGAUGGGUGGGGGAGAGCGUUUUCGAGAAACAAGAGAGAAGACCAGAGAGAGCGAAACCCAACCAAUCUCAUUCUUCUUCUUCAAUUAUUUUCUCUAUUUUCUUCUUUAGAACCAAAAGCCCGUUUUAGUGCAGUUCUUCUUCUUCUUCCAUUUUGUUUUUCCUCUUUCUCGGAUCAAACCCUAGAACCGUGAGCAAUGAAGAUUGGGGGUUGCCAAGAGUAGAGUUAUUGCAUGAAUUGGUGAAUUGAGAGGCCGCCGUAAGGACUUUGGAUCAAGGUAUGAGGAGUUGUUUAAUUGUGUGUGUUGAAUGGCAUGCUUCUCUCUAUUUAUUUGUGUUCGCUCGAGUAUUAUAUAAUGGGAAUUGAGUUAUUAAAUGUUCAAAUGACUGGGAAGAGGUAUUGAAGAAUUGAGUAUGAGAAAUGUGUUAAAUUGAUGUUUGAGUUGUAUUGGAGUUAAGAAAAAUGAAAGUUCUCCUCUGUUCACUCUUUGGCGAUUAGUAAAAUGUGAUUAUGCAUAUGUUUCUUGAUUCGUACCUUUUUCUAUGGUUACUGUAAUAUUGGAUAUUAUAAGGUAUGGUUUCUCUUAAAAGGAAAGAAGAACAGGAUAGUUGUUUUGUAGAAACAAAUAUAUAAUGAGUUCUGUUUUCAAUUUUAUAAAUCAAGAAGUUGGUAUCUAUAGUUUAAUUAAAGAUGGCAAAUUGAUGAAUGCUUUGUGGUGUUUAAUAUUUCUGAACUGGAAUUGUGGUAGGAAUCUUGAAUGCGUUAGUUUAGAUUUUCUUUCUAUCUUUCCGUGUAAUCUUCCACAAUGGUAUGUUAAUGGAUUCUGGUGUUCUAAGGGAUGCUUUGGGUUGGUUGUGUUAUAACUAUAGCUAUUUUAUUUGAGCAUAUGGGUUGCGUGAAUGGGUUUGGUGACUCUGUUAUGCAUGAGUGAGACUAGUUCUUAGUGUAAAUAUAGAACAACUUGGAUGAAGUAAUUGCUUGUUUUGUUGAGUUCAUGAUUUAAAAUCUGAUUGUUACUAGUUGAAGGAACCUAAGUGCAUCACUGUAAUCGUUAUAUACAUGUUUUAGCUAAUAGAAUUAGGAUGGUUGUCCUGUAAAACUUUAACUGCAUACUCCAUAAAUACAAUGUCUUGUAAGGGUUAAGACUUUAUGUGUUACUAUGUUUGAGUUAAUUAGAGUUCUUUUAGACUAAUAAUUAAUGACCUGUGGGUAUACAUCACGUGGAAUAUAAACUCAAAUUGUUUUACAUUGCCUAUAGUUUUAGAAUUUAUUUUAUUGUUGAAACAGGGUCAUAUGUGAUUCAAAUGAUACCAGAAAUACAUGCUUGCUGUUAUGAGGCGAUUCGGAUGAUUAGAAUUGGUUGUAAACUAAGCUAAUACCGUGAGAAUAUAUUUUGGUGUUGUGUGUGUAUUAAUACUGGUAGUAUGUCUUUAGAUUGUCAAUUGAUGUUAUAUAGUUUAUAAAAAUAAAAAUAAAAUGAGGCACAAUGUUGUUUGAACUAAUGUAAGAGUUCAGAUUGUUAGGAUAUCAUUAUUCUUAAGUUGAUAAUGAAUUACUAAACUGAUUGGAUAUGUUUAGUUGGAUGCUUGAUAAUGUACGGUUAAAUUUAUUGUUGCCUGUUGAGAUUUGGAUUUGAGUUAGAGAGUUGGUGGGUGUGGAUAGAAGUUUAAAUUUCUUUAAUACCUAUAUUGUUUAUGUUAUAUGGAUGAAAUUAAUGAUUGACACGUUGAAGAAUUCUCUUGGUACUUGAGAGAAUGAAUUAUAGACUUUGGAAGACUUGAUAAUGUUGCUUAAUUUUUAAUUUAGAAAGUUAAAUAUAAGGAUGUAAUGUGUGUAAGGUAAUUUGGUAUUAUUUGAAAUUAUCUUUAAAUUCUAAAAUUGGGUCAACUGCUGAAGGAAAUACUGCUAUGUGGAUUGAACAAACAAUGAAAUAUGAACUUAAGGUAAGGAUGUCAUCAUUGAAUUGUGAAUUAGCGUGUGAAUUAGCCUGUCAUUAUUGUACAGGAUUGAAAUAUUAAGUUAUUUAAAUAUUAUAUGCUGUGAAACGUGUUAAAGUGAGAAUGAAGGUAUAUACUGAUACAAUUUUUUUUAUUUAAAUGAUUAGUUUAGUUAAAAUUAGUUAAAAUUGUAAGUAAUCGGCAAUAGUAUAUUUUUUUAAUCUGUUUUGGUAAGUGUUAAUAAGUUCAAGUUAAAAUGUCUGACAUAGAUUCUAGUAUUUCAGAAUUUAGGAAAAAUUGGGAUAAGAGUUUAUAAUAAACUAUGAUAUAUAUAUAUAUAUAUAUAUAUAUAUAUAUAUAUAUAUAUAUAUAUAUAUAAUACGAAAUAUUCAUUAAGUAAAGAUUAAGUUUCGAUAUAUAUUAUUAAGUAGUUCAGAUAAUUGGUUAAUGGUUUGUGAUUGAUUAUGCUUGGGUUUCUGAAAAAGUGACCUUAUUUGAUUGUUAAAUCUAUAUGGGACCCAAUGUGUGGAAUUCGACUGUAUGUUUAAUUGAUAAUUAAACACAUUACAUUUUAUGGUUCUUAUAGUGCCAAGUCUCUAGAAAGUUUUGAAGGAAAAUUUGUUACUUGUAAAUGAAAUGAUUUGAUGACUACAAUUAUACACCCUUUAUAAGCUUGACUCAUCUUUGAUUGGUUGUCUGAAUAUGAAAAUAUUGGGAUUGAUGUAUUGUUAUGAUAACAAACCGUCAGUUUUGGUUUCGGUGUACACUAUUUAAUGAUUCUUUGGGUUCGUGGAUACUGUUAUAUGAUUGUAGUUGAAUUGGAAAUGUGUUUGAAUUGUUAAAUGAUGUUAGAAGUAUGAGUUAUUGAUGUUAAUGUGUUAGUAAAUUUAUUUUGCCAUAUUAUAAUCCAUAUUGAUACAGUGGAUCAUAAAUGUUGUGAAAUUUCAGAUCUGGAGACUUGUUUUAAAGACUGUUUUAAUAAUUAUAAUUAUUGUUAUUAAAUUCAAAUGUUUGAACCAAUAUUAUUUUAGUAUGGAACGUUAGGUAUAUUAAGAUUAAUGGUAUGAUGUAUUCUAAUAAAAGUGCUUUGUAUGUAAAGUUAGUAUAAUGAUGUACGAUCAUGGUAAUGUAAUUGGAUAGUUGGUUGCUAGUUAAUUAGUCCAAAUAUAAAAUGUCUAUAAAUAAGAGUUGAUUAAUAUUGAUGUAGAUGUUGGUACGUGUAUAUCUUAUUUUCUUAAAAUGUUUAAUUUAUUGAAUGCUUAAGUUAUCCAUUAAAUUGUGUUUUGUCUGUGUGUGCCGUGUGUGCCUUUGCGGUGACGGUAUAACGUAUGUUAUAAGAGUGCUCAAAUAGGAAUGUAGAUGACUUAUACAGAUGCAGAAGAUUAUUUUGAAAAUGUGUCAUACGUAUUAAAUACAUGGUUUUAAAUUGUUCUGUAGUUGUAUACUUUCAUAUUUAAUCAUUGAGAUGUAAAUAUUAAAUAACCUUGAUGUGGAAUAUGGAAGAAAUUCUGAUAGAUUAAAAUAGAAUGAUUAUAUUCAUGAUUGUGAAAAGUUUAAAUUUUUACACUUUUUCAUGAAAUUGAAAUUAAGGGUGUUACAAUACACUCCUUUUACCUCCUCGUAUACUCUUUCUAUCGCUAUUGUACAUCUUUUCUCUACAAUUUUCUAAUCUAUAUCUUUCUUACAUCUUUCUUACAACUAUUUUAUAUUCUCCUUGCACCAUUCUACUCUCACAAUUUUUUUAAUAUCUUUUCUACACUCUUUUUACAUAAUUUUUACACUCUUUUUACAUGAUUUCUACACCUUUUCUUUCUACAACCUAAUUCACCAUUUCUACACUCUUUUCACAUUCUUCUUACAACCUUUCAACAACUUUCCUACACAGUUCUUACACUAUUCUUACAACAUUUUUUACAAUUUUUCUAUACCUUUCUUAUACCUUUUAUAUAUCUUUUUACAUCUUUCUUACAUCUUUUAUAUAUUUUUUUACACCUUUCCUACACUUGCUAUACUCUUCUUACAUUCUUCCUACACCUAUUCUAUAUCUUUCUUACAUUUUUCUUACAACCUUGUUACACUUUUUUUACACCAUUCUUACUUUAUUCUUACAACUUACCUACAUUUUUCAUAUUCUUUUUGUACACUAUUUGUAUACCAUUUCUAUACGUUUUUGACACUCUUUCUACAACCUAAUACACCUUUCCUACACUUCUUUACCUCUUUUCUAUAUUCUUUUUACUUCCUUUGUCCAACUUUCCUCUACUCUUGCCAUGCUCUUCUCACACCCUUCCUACAUCUAUUUUAUACCUUUCUAACAUCCUUCUUGCAACCUUCUUCCACUCUUCUUACACAAUUCUUACAACAUUCCUAUAUAUUUCUUAUACCUUUUUACAACUUAAUACACCCUUUUUAUACUCUUCCCACAUCCCUUUUACAACCUUCUUAUACACUUUUUACACCCUUCCUACAACAUUUAUACACUUUUUUUACAUCCUUCGUAUAUCUUUUCUACACGUUUUUUUACUCUCUUACACUUUUUCUAAAUCCUUUGUACACUUUUCAUCUACCCUUGCUAUAAUCUUGUUAUACCCAUCCUACACCUAUUAUAUACCCUUCUUACAUCCUAUGUAUGACCUUCUUACACUCUUCUUACAAUUUUCUUACACUCUUCUUACAUCAUUCCUACUACCUUUCUACAAUUUUCUUACACUUUUUUUACACCCAGAUGACAAUCCCUUUAGGGACUUCCCAUCUAAAGAAGUAACAACUUAAACUAAGACUAAAGAAAGGGAAGUAAAAUAAAGAUUUCUAAAGCUCUUUCCUUAUCUAAGUCUUAGAUAGAUUCUCUUUAACUAAAUGCAUUUACAUUGUUUUGUAGGACACUAAUAAAGGUUGGAAACCAUGUCUAUGCAUCCUAAGAAGGUUGCCAAGCAAGGGAGAGCAAAGGACGAAAAGAAGAGUGGCAAUUAAGUGACUUCUGGAUUGGGAAAAUCAGCUAGCGCUCAACGGAGCUUGUUCUACCGCUUAGCGGCAACAGAUCAUCUCACUUCUUCAUGCACGUGUUAAAUGUGUUUCGCCUGGAAAAUGCAACCCACGCUGGCUAGCUUCUUCAGCACAUGUCAUUUAGUAUUUGAGUAGCUUCCCUUGCACGAUUCAGAGCUUCUCUCCAUCUAUAAAAGAGAACUUUGAUCCUUUGUAAAGAUUAACUCGAGUGAUAUAGUGAAACGCUACUGAAUUGAAUUUCUAGCCACUUCUCUCGAGUUCAUAGCUUUGUGCCAGUUUAGCACACUCAUCCUCUAGCUUCCUUCGCUUUCGGAAGGCUUUUUGAGUUAGAGCAACUGCGUACACGCCUCCAAACACCAUGACACAUUUUCACAAACACCUUGCCUGCAUCGUUGUUCUCCUUCAUUUCUACACUCCAUUGCAACAUUCUGGUCUAAGGAGUCGUCUAGUCUUGGAGAUUGGAACUGCUUCUAUCAUUUGGCAUCUAGAGCCUAGUCGUCCGCACGUGAUUUCAAGAGCUAAGCCACUCUUCCUUUCAUUUUCUUCUUUCCGUGUUGUAUUGUUCCAUUAAGCCAUUGUUCGAUUUUUUUUUUCGUUAUUAUUUUGAUUCAAUUCGUGUUUUCUGUGGUUGUUUGAUUCCAUUCAGUGUUCCAUAGCAUGUGUUCUUCAUUUUAAUCGGUGCAUUUCCAUUGUUUGAGUUCAAUUCAUCUUAAUUCAUCAUUUCAAGUUGUGUCACGGUCAUGUGCAAAUUCUUUUGCAGUUUUUACCUCUGUCACAAUGUUUAAAUCUGUUCACCCCUUGAAUUUUUCGUUUUGAUUGAGUAAAGUGCAUGUGCUAGCUAUAUGUUGAUUAUAUAAAGCAAUGACAUUAAGUUCAACUUUGAUCAUUUGAGCUAACAGCAGUGCACAUUGUUUUCUAGUUGGAAAUUCUGCAGAAAAAUUCAAUUUUUGGUUUAAUAUACUGUAAUGAUUUUGUCCAGAAUUUUGUGUUCUUAAGCUUGGUGCAAGUUUCUUUGGUGUUGUUAAACAUUGCUAGAAGUAUAACAACUCAUAUCAAUCACAGUUUUGCAAAAUGAAUGAUUGAGUUGAUUAAUUUUUGGUUUCCAAACUGUUAUAGUAUUUUCCACAAGUUUUUGCACCGUGCUUGAAUCAUUGCCAUGUCUUAGGCCAUUUUACUUCUCCUAGCUCACAUGUUCAAGCUAGAUUUAGUUGCUCAGGACCUUUCUUACAUGUUUCUUGAACAAUCCAGCAUUGAUUCACAUGAAUUUCCAAUGCUGUUGCAGUUUUGCCUUAUUUUUAUGCAUUUUUAAGCAACUGCCAUUGUCAAUUGUUUAAUUUGUGCAUGUUUGUACUGUGUGAACGUUUGUGCAAGUAUAAUUGACCAUUACAAACUUAUUGUUAUUGUUCAUAUGGUCAUUUUUGAGCCUUUCCGAAAAAAAAAACACCAUCCAAAGCAUCAAGUUUUGUUAAAUUUGGAAGUCAACCAGUGAAAUUCUGAAAUGGACUUUGCCUUGGCUGUUUAAGUGUUUGCACACAUUCCAUAUGAUGAUAUAAACCUGUUUGAAGUGUCAUUUGAACAUUUGAAUCAUUGCCAUUCAUUUUGGACACUGCUGUUAUCAUUUUGCAGCCACAUUUUUUUUUCUGGUUUGCAUUCUUUGCUAUUUACAUUUUGUUUUUCAAAUAUUGUUUUGCAAUUUGGAUUGGCAAAAGCUGGGGAUUCUGUUUCUAGAUAUAUUCCAAUGCUUAUACAAGUGUAAACAAAUAAUAAAAAACAAAUAAACCCUUGCAAUCCAGUUUGGAAGAAUAAAAAACCAGAAAACACCAAAACUGCAUCUCUUUGUGGCAUUUCAUUUUUAAAAGUUUUGAAUUUUCAUCAAACACUUUCAUUGCACACGAUUCAUUCACUAUUUUGUGUUUUUUUAUUGCUUUUGUGAUAUGUUCUAGACCCUUUUUUAGGUUUCUUUUGCGUCCCACCUCUUAUUCAAGCCUAGAAAUCAUUAAAAUUCAAUUUUAUUUGGCUUUCCACUAUGUUGUCAAACUGGUUUUUCAAUCCAAAAUCUGGUGCAAUGCAAGUUUUUGUGCUAAUUGUUUGUUGUUGGUAUAUGGUUAUGUGAAGUAUUGGUGCAGUUUCUCUGUUUCAAAUUCCUUGCUCCAAGGGGGUAGCAUCUUAGGAGUGGAUGAGGUGUUAAAAGGGAUACAAGCGUGCAACUCCAAGGGCCACUUUGCCUUGCACAAUCAAAAGCAAAAUUCAGCAGCCACACCACCUUUUGGUCAUCUAUUUGGAACAGCACAUAGUGACACAAUAGCCACACUUGGCUUUGCUAUUUUUGUAAACACUUUUACUUGUAAUUUUGUGUUAUAUCACUGAACUUUGUGUGUAAUUUUUCUUUUACUUUUGAAACUUAAGUGGCUUGAGAAAAUGCUUUGCUAGCAAUUCCAAGUUCACCAUUAAACAUUGUAAUAGUCUAGUUUCCACAUCUUAGUGUGAAAGUGUGUCAAGUGACUCCAAGUGUCACUUGCACUUUCACUUAGGGCCUUGUCUCAUUCUUCCUCUUCAUUUUGCAUUCUCUCUUUACUUUUGCUUGAUUGUUUAAUUUCUGUUUACGUCUCUGUGAUAUCUAGGUGCACGUUCAUAUAGAUAAACCUUUGUUUGGUUUCUAGGUGCAUCUCAUACUUGCAUUCCAAAAAGUUUUUGAAAGACUUUUACCUAGAAACUUGGGUAAGAAAUGUCAAGAGAAACUCUGACUAAGGAAGGACAAGGUUCUUAAGCCUGUCCAUUGUGACUCAUCUCUCCUUUUUGGGAGCUAUUUGGUUUCUAUUACCUUUAGACUCUUUCUAGAAGUCAUUCACCAAACCCUUUUGCACCCUUUCUACAUAUUUUUAAAAAUAGGUACAAUGGGUGUAUACCCUUUAUAUACCCUUUCUACACCUUUUAUACACACCCUUGUAUAUAAAGUGGUAUAAAGAUUUAGAAAACGUGUACAACACGUGUAUAAAGUGCUUACUAAAAGGUUUAAAAGUGUUGUACAAGGAUUUAUAAACGGAGUAUAAAGGGUGUACAAAAGGUGUACAAAGGGUGUCUAAAAGUUGUACAAAGGGUAUACACUCAUUGUACACACUUUGUACAUCCUUUAUACAUCUCUUGUACACCUUUUAUAAACCUUUUGUAUUCACUUUAUACACACAUUUUACAUCCUUUCUAAAUCUUUCUUCAUCUUCCUACACUCUUACUAAACCCUUUCAACACUAUUUCUACACCUUUUCUACAUCACUUCCAACCUUUUUAUAUACCAUUUGUGUACCCUCCUGCACCUUUUCUACAAAUUUUUGAAAAUGAUGUAGAAUGAGUGUACAUUCUUUAUAUACCAAUUAUUCACCCUUUAUACAUCUUUUCGGUACACCCUUUAUGCAUCCUUUAAACACCCUUUAUAAACCUUUUAUCCACCUUUUUCACACACUUUGUAUACCUUUCCUACACUAUUUUAACACAUCUUUCUACCCUCUUUAUAUAACCUUUUUAUACUUUUCUAUAGCAUUUCUACAUCUUUUUUAAAAAGAGAUAGAAUGGGUCUACACCCUUUGUACACUCUUUAUACACCUUUUGUACAUCCUUUAUACACCCUUUAUACAACAUUUGUAAACCCUUUGGACUUACUUUAUACACACAUUGUACACGAUUUCUACAUAUUUCUUAAUCUUCUUACACCCUUACUAAACCUUUUCAGCACUCUUUUUACACUCUUUCUACAUACUUUCUGACCCCUUUAAAUACCAUUUAUGCACCCUUCUGCGCCCUUUCUACAUAUUUUUUAAAUAUAGGUAGAAUGGGUGUAUACCCAUUGUACACCUUUUAUACUCUCUUUGUACACUCUUUAUACCCCUUUGUACACCUUUUCUACUCACUUUAUACACACUUUGUACAUCCUUUCUACAUCUUUCUUCAUCUUUCUACACCCUUACUAAACCUUUUCUACUCUAUUUCUACACCUUUUCUAUAUCACUUCCAACCCUUUUAUAUAUCAUUUAUGUACCCUUCUGCACCAUUUCUAAAUUUUUUUAAAAUGAUGUAGAAUGAGUAUACACUCUUUGUGCACCAUUUAUUCACACUUUAUACACACUUUGUACACGAUUUCUACAUCUUUCUUCAUCUUCUUACACUCUUACUAAACCUUUUCAAGAGUCUUUCUAUACCCUUUUUACAUCAUUUCUAACCCAUUUAUAUACCUUUUGUGCAUCCUUCUGCAGCCUUUCUACAUAUUUUUUAAAAAGAGGUAGAAUGGGUCUACACCAUUUGUACACCCUUCAUACACCUUUGGUACACCCUUUACACACCUUUUAUAGAACGUUUGUAAACCCUUUGUACUCACUUUAUACACAUUUUGUACAUGAUUUCUACAUCUUUCUUCAUCUUCUUACACCCUUACUAAACCUUUUCAACAGUCUUUCUACACCUUUUCUACAUCCUUUCUAACCCAUUUAUAUAUAAUUUGUGCAUUUUCUACAGCCUUUCUACAUAUUUUUUAAAAAGAGGAAGAAUGCGUGUAUACCCUUUGUGCACCCUUAAUACACCUUUUGUACACCCUUUAUACACCCUUUAUAAAACACUUGUAAACCCUUUGUACUCACUUUAUACACACUUUGUACACGAUUUCUAUAUCUUUCUUCAUCUUCUUACGCUCUUACUAAACCUUUUCAAGAGUCUUUCAACACCCUUUCUACAUCCUUUCUAACCCCUUUAUAUACCAUUUCUGAACCCUUCUGCAGCCUUUCUACAUAUUUUUUUAAAAAGAGGUAGAAUGGGUCUACACCCUUUGUACACCCUUUAUACACCAUUUGUACACCCUUUAUAAACACUUUAUACAACAUUUGUAAACCCUUUGUACUCACUUUAUAGACAAUUUGUACACGAUUUCUACAUCUUUCUUCAUCUUCUUACACCCUUACUAAACCUUUUCAACAGUCCUUCUACACCCAUUCUACAUCGUUUUUAACCUCUUUAUAUACCAUUUGUGAACCCUUCUGCAGAUUUUCUACAUAAUUUUUAAAAAGAGGUAGAAUGGGUCUACAUCCUUUGUACACCCUUUAUACACCCUUGGUUCACCCUUUAUACACUCUGUAUACAACAUUUGUAAAACCUUUGUAGUCACCUUAUAUACACUUUGUACAUGAUUUCUACAUCUUUCUUCAUCUUCUUACACCCUUACUAAACCAUUUCAACAAUCUUUCUACACCUUUUCGACAUCCAUUAUAACCCCUUUAUAUACGAUUUGUGCACCCUUUUGAAACCUUUCUACAUAUUUUUUAAAAAGAGGUAGAAUGGGUCUACACCCUUUGUAAACCCGUUAUACAACUUUUGUACACCCUUUAUACAACAUAUGUAAACCCUUUGUACUCACUUUAUACACACAUUGUACACGAGUUCUACAUCUUUCGUCUUCUUUGUAUACCCUUACUAAACCUUUUCAAGAGUCUUUCUACACCCUUUCUACACCCAUUUUACAUCCUUUCUAACCCCUUUAUAUACCAUUUGUGUACCCUUCUGCAGCCUUUCUAGAUAUUUUUUAAAAAGAGGUAGAAUGAGUCGACACCUUUUAUACACCCUUUAUACACCUUUUGUACACCCUUUAUACACCUUUUAUACAACAUUUGUAAACUCUUUGUACUCAUUUUAUACACACUUUGUACAUGAUUUCUACAUCUUUCUUCAUCUUCUUACACUCUUACUAAACCUUUUCAAGACUCUUUCUACACCCUUUCUAAAUCCUUUCUAACCCCUUCAUAUACCAUUUGUGCACCCUUCUGCAGCCUUUCUACAUUUUUUUAAAAAGAGGUAGAAUGGGUGUACACUCUUUGUACACCCUUUAUACACCCUUUGUACACCCUUUAUACACCCUUUACACAAUCUUUAUAUAACAUUUCUAAACCCAUUGUACUCACUUUAUACACACUUUGUACACGAUUUCUACAUCUUUCUUCAUCUUCAUACACCCUUACUAAACUUUUUGAAGAGUCUUUCUACACCUUUUGUACAUCCUUUCUAACCCCCUUAUAUACCAUUUGUGCACCAUUCUGCAGCGUUUCUACAUAUUUUUAAAAAGAGGUAGAACGGGUCGGCACCCUUUGUACACCCUUUAUACACCCUUGGUACACCCUUUACAUACCCUUUAUACAACAUUUGUAAACCCUUUAUAUUCACUUUAUACACAUUUUUUCCAUGAUUUGUACAUCUUCCUUCCUCUUCUUACACCCUUACUAAACCUUUUCAGCAGUUUUUCUACACCUUUUCUAUAUCCUUUCUAACCCCUUUAAAGAUUAUUUGUGCACCCUUCUGCAAACUUUCUACAUAUUUUUUAAAAAGAGGUAGAAUGAGUCUACACCCUUUGUACACCCUUUAUACACCCUUUGUACACUCUUUAUACAACAUUUGUAAACCCUUUGUACUCACUUUAUACACACUUUGUACACGAUUUCUACAUUUUUCUUCAUCUUCUAACACCCUUACUAAACCUUUUCAAGAGUCUUUCUACCCCUUUCUACAUCCUUUCUAUCCCCUUUGGAUACCAUUUGUGCACCCUUCUACAGCCUUUCUACAUAUUUUUUAAAAAGAGGUAGAAUGGGUCUACACCCGUUGUACACCCUUUAUACACCCUUGGUUCACCAUUUAUACACCCUGUAUACAACAUUUGUAAACCCUUUGUACUCACCUUAUAUACACUUUGUACAUGAUUUCUACAUCUUUCUUCAUCUUCAUACACCCUUACUAAACCUUUUCAACAGUCUUUCUACACCUUUUCUACAUCCUUUCUAACCCCUUUAUAUACCAUUUGUGCACCCUUCUGCAAUCUUUCUACAUAUUUUUUAAAAAGAGGUAGAAUGGGUCUACACCCUUUGUAAACCCCUUAUACAGCUUUUGUACACCCUUUAUACACCAUUUAUACAACAUUGGUAAACCCUUUGUAGUCACUUUAUACACACAUUGUACACGAUUUCUACAUCUUUCGUCAUCUUCUUACACCCUUACUAAACCCUUUCAAGAGUCUUUCCAAACCCUUUCUACAUCCUUUCUAACCCCUUUAUAUAACAUUUGUGCACCCUUAUGCAACCUUUCUACAUAUUUAUUAAAAAGAGGUAGAAUGGGUCGACACCAUUUAUACACCCUUUAUACACCUUUUGUACACCCAUUAUACACCCUUUAUACAACAUUUGUCAACCCUUUGUACUCAUUUUAUACACACUUUGUACACGAUUUCUACAACUUUCUUCAUCUUCUUACACCCUUACUAAACCUUUUCAAGAGUCUUUUCCACCCUUUCUAAAUCCUUUCUAACCCCUUGAUAUACCAUUUGUGCACCCUUCUGCAGUCUUUCUACAAUUUUUUAAAAAGAGGUAGAAUGGGUGUACACUCUUUGUACCCCUUUAUGCACCCUUUGUACACCCUUUAUACACCCUUUAUACAAUCUUUAUACAACAUUUUUAAACCCAUUGUACUCACUUUAUACACACUUUGUACACGAUUUCUACAUNUUUCUUCAUCUUCAUACACCNUUAUUAAACCUUUUGAAGAGUCUUUNUACACCUUUUCUNNAUCCUUUCUAACCCCCUUAUAUACCAUUUGUGCACCAUUCUGCAGCGUUUCUACAUAUUUUUAAAAAGNGGUAGAACNNGUCAACACCCUUUGUACACCCUUUAUACACCCUUGGUACACCCUUUACACACCCUUUAUACAACAUUUGUAAACCCUUUAUACUCACUUUAUACACAUUUUUUCCACGAUUUCUACAUCUUUCUUCAUCUUCUUACACCCUUACUAA